RNAcentral lists this ribosomal RNA (305 nucleotides) under uncultured bacterium. Its description in RNAcentral is "bacterial SSU rRNA". It matches the Rfam family "Bacterial small subunit ribosomal RNA", at positions 337 to 639 of the family's 1533-position model. The record is from RNAcentral.
GCCUACGGGGGGCAGCAGUGAGGAAUAUUGGUCAAUGGGCGGGAGCCUGAACCAGCCAAGUCGCGUGAGGGAAGACGGUCCUACGGAUUGUAAACCUCUUUUGCCGGGGAGCAACGGGGUCCCUGCGAGGGCCCAAUGAGAGUACCCGGAGAAAAAGCAUCGGCUAACUCCGUGCCAGCAGCCGCGGUAAUACGGAGGAUGCGAGCGUUAUCCGGAUUUAUUGGGUUUAAAGGGUGCGUAGGCGGGCUGUUAAGUCAGCGGUCAAAUGUCGGGGCUCAACCCCGGCCCGCCGUUGAAACUGGCGG